UAGUCCAUGCCGUAAACGAUGGAUACUAGUCGUCGGGACACCUAAUUGUUUCGGUGACGUCGCUAACGCUUUAAGUAUCCCGCCUGGGGAGUACGGUCGCAAGAUUAAAACUCAAAGGAAUUGACGGGGGCCCGCACAUGCGGUGGAUUAUGUGGUUUAAUUCGAAGCAACGCGCAGAACCUUACCUGGGCUUGAAAUCCGGAGAAUUUUUCAGAGAUGAUUAAGUGCCCUUCGGGGAACUCCGUGACAGGCGCUGCAUGGCUGUCGUCAGCUCGUGUUGUGAAAUGUUGGGUUAAGUCUCGCAACGAGCGCAACCCUCGUCCUUAGUUGCCAGCAUUAAGUUGGGCACUCUAGGGAGACUGCCUGGGUUAACCAGGAGGAAGGUGGGGAUGACGUCAAGUCCUCAUGGCCCUUAUGUCCAGGGCUACACACGUAAUACAAUGGCCAGUACAGAGGGAAGCGAACCAGCGAUGGGGAGCAAAUCUCAAAAAGCUGGUCUCAGUCCGGAUUGGAGU
This 515-nucleotide ribosomal RNA is filed under the name uncultured bacterium. Its description in RNAcentral is "bacterial SSU rRNA". It matches the Rfam family "Bacterial small subunit ribosomal RNA", at positions 791 to 1304 of the family's 1533-position model. The record is from RNAcentral.